Molecule: long non-coding RNA, 254 nt
Organism: Humulus lupulus (European hop)
Lineage: Eukaryota; Viridiplantae; Streptophyta; Magnoliopsida; Rosales; Cannabaceae
Exons: 2
Source: RefSeq, a predicted model, not a curated record
CAGUGCUAUGCAUCCUAUCCAUAGAUUGUUGAAGCCACAUUUCAGAUACACAAUAGAGAUUAAUGCUCUUGCUCGAGAAAGUUUGAUUAAUGCAGGUGGUGUCAUUGAAACAGCAUUUGCGCCAGGAAAAUAUUCUAUGGAGUUGAGCUCUGUUAUCUAUGACAAACAAUGGCGAUUUGACCUACAAGCAUUGCCAGCUGACCUAAUCAAUAUAUGAAUGGCUGUUGAGGACAAGAAUAGUGAACAUGGUCUAA